GACACAAUUGUUCCUAAUAGUCCNNNNNNNNNNNNNNNNNNNNNNNNNNNNNNNNNNNNNNNNNNNNNACCACAGUGAUCCAUCGAACACAGCUGCUUCCAGUCAGUUUUCAAUCAAUGCUGACUACCAACUAAGCACAACUGUCCACACUGGAACUUCGACCACUGUGGUUCCUAGUGAUCUGUCAAACACAACCAUUUCUUAUGGUCCCGCCAUCAGUAAAGAUCCUUUGGAUUCACCAAAGACAACUGUUUCUGGUGGCUCCACAACCAUUGCAGUUCCUAGUGAUCUGUCAAGCACAACUGUAUCUCCAGGCCUUUCAAGCAAAGCAGUUCUAUCCAGUCUGUUAACCACGACAGUUCCUACUAGUCCCACAAGCACGGCUGUUGCUACUGAUCUGUCAAACAGAAGUGUUCCUAAAGAUGAUUCAGACAUCUCAGGUUGUACCGAUCAGUUAAGUACAACUAUAGCUAUCGGUCCCUCAGCUACUACAGUUCCUAAAGAUCUUUCAGACAGAACCGUUGUUUCAGGCCCUUCAACCUCCCCAGUGCCUACUUAUCAGUCAAGCACAGUUGCUCCUCAUGCUACUGUAACCACCACUGUCUCUACUGAUGUGUCAAACACGGCUGGACCAAAUUAUCUAUCAGAUACUUCAAUUUCAGCGAGUAUGUCAAUCACAAAUGCUCCAGCUGGCCAGUCAAGUAAUACAGUUCACACUGAUCCAUCAAGCACAAGCGCUCCUGAUCAUUUUUCAAACAAUGUAUUCCCUCAUGAUCAGCCAAGCUCAACUGUUAAUACUGAUAUUUUUUCCACUGCAGUUCCCUCAGAUCUGUCAAGCUCAACUGAUCCUUAUGGUCCUGUCACAACUAAAGAUGCUUUGAAUUCAUUAAAGACAUCUGUUCCUGAUGGUUCCACAAAUGCUGCAGUCCCAACCAAUCAAUCAAGCACAGCUGUUCCCACUGGAACUUUGAACACUGUGGUUCCUACUGAUCUGUCAAGCACAGCUGUACUGUCAGGCAUUUCAGCCUCCAG
Molecule: long non-coding RNA, 1032 nt
Organism: Cyprinus carpio (common carp)
Lineage: Eukaryota; Metazoa; Chordata; Actinopteri; Cypriniformes; Cyprinidae
Source: Ensembl